This 27-nucleotide non-coding RNA is filed under the name Mus musculus (house mouse). The record is from RNAcentral. Lineage: Eukaryota; Metazoa; Chordata; Mammalia; Rodentia; Muridae.
UGGAAAUUGAGAUAGAAAAGUUGGGUC